AAGUGAUUUUUGCGAGUGUUAAAUAUGAUCCAUAAAAAUGAGGUAAAUUUUAAUGUAUUUUUUCAGGUAGCCAAUGAUUGAAGAAAUGUUGGGUAAUUUCUACAUGUGCUACCCAUUCGUUAACAUUAAAAACUAUUAGAUAGGAAAUUACAGUAAAAUCUACCCCGAUUCUUAAGUCCGGUGCUCCAAAGUUGCGCAUGCGUCAGACCGCGUUUUUGAAAGAGAAGCGGGACAAGGAACUCUGGAUCCUCUCUGCCAUCGAACCGGGAGCUGAAGAUCAAGGAAGAGUUCAGACUUAUCGACAGUUUCCUUGGAGGAGACAUUCAUGCUAAAGCUUGAUGAGAACACACCAGGUCUUCUGCAGCUUAGUGCUAAAGGAGGGGCUGCUGGUUCAAAGAUGCACCUUCUGCUGGACACUUUAAAUGACCCACAGAGCAUUGAGGAAAAAAAGGGAUACAGUUGUCUGCUGCCUCAUUAACUACUUUGGUGAAAGACAAGAAGAUCUUUUCCAUGACUGCCAGGAAUGUGAGGACCACACAGACAAAACAAUGACGGUGAUCGUGAUGCACAACAUCAUGGCUGAGGAGGAUCCAUCAGAUUGUGAUUGAGGGAAACCAAGUGAUGGAAGGAUGUGGAAGCCGAACAAAGGCAUGUGUACUGCUGAUGGGACUCAUAUUUGCCCUCAACCUGGACUAUCCAAAGCAGCUCAAGAACACAUUUGAAGCUUUUCAAAAACUUUUUUUGGAAAGUGAUGGGGCAAAACUACUGAAGAAGGUCCACAGUCUGAAGAACAAGCUCAAGGCAUACAUUUUCCGUCCUGUUCCAAGAGGAUCUUUUGUCUGGACAGAGUUUUAAGGUAGUAUAGCUUUUUUUUAUUAGUGUUCUGUUCUGUCCUCUGCUCCACACACAGACACAGACAUAUAUGUGGAUACAUAAGUACGUUGCAGCCUCUCUCAGCCCACUCCAUUGUUCUCUGAUUUCUGAAAAUGGAAAAACAAUGUAAACUGGACAGUCUGGUCAUUAACACUGACUGAAUUCUGACAAAUUUAAAAAUCACCUCUUUCCCAAUUUCGUUGUUUCUGUUAUUGUCAUUCUACCUGAAUGAGUGCAACUAUAUUAACUGAAGACUGUUGUUUUUCUGAUCUGUUUUCAUCCACAUGUACACACGCAGAAAAAAAAAGUAUUACAGUUUGUGUGUGGGUUUUGAAGCUUUUGGAAUAGAAUAAGGGGACUCUUAAAGUUUGGUUGCAUUAAAUACUUAUCCAGAGACAACAUAUGUAGCCGUUAGCUCAGUGUGUUAUAA
Molecule: long non-coding RNA, 1303 nt
Organism: Poeciliopsis prolifica (blackstripe livebearer)
Lineage: Eukaryota; Metazoa; Chordata; Actinopteri; Cyprinodontiformes; Poeciliidae
Exons: 4
Source: RefSeq, a predicted model, not a curated record